RNAcentral lists this unclassified non-coding RNA (342 nucleotides) under soil metagenome. RNAcentral describes it as "partial contains 5.8S ribosomal RNA, internal transcribed spacer 2, and large subunit ribosomal RNA". The stretch from base 1 to 120 matches the Rfam family "5.8S ribosomal RNA", at positions 35 to 154 of the family's 154-position model. The record is from RNAcentral.
GAUGAAGAACGCAGCGAAAUGCGAUAAGUAAUGUGAAUUGCAGAGUUCAGUGAAUCAUCGAAUCUUUGAACGCUCAUUGCGCCCGUUAGUAUUCUGACGGGCAUGCCUGUCCGAGCGUCAUUUCAACCCUCAAGCCCCCGGGCUUGGUGUUGGGGAUCGGCGAGCCUCCGCGCCCGCCGUCCCCUAAAUCUAGUGGCGGUCUCGCUGUAGCUUCCUCUGCGUAGUAGCACACCUCGCACUGGGAAACAGCGCGGCCACGCCGUUAAACCCCCAACUUCUGAACGUUUGACCUCGGAUCAGGUAGGAAUACCCGCUGAACUUAAGCAUAUCAAAAGCGGAGGA